This 643-nucleotide ribosomal RNA is filed under the name uncultured bacterium. RNAcentral's name for it is "bacterial SSU rRNA". It matches the Rfam family "Bacterial small subunit ribosomal RNA", at positions 232 to 885 of the family's 1533-position model. The record is from RNAcentral.
CGCGGCCUAUCAGCUUGUUGGUGGGGUAGUGGCUUACCAAGGCUUUGACGGGUAGCCGGCCUGAGAGGGUGACCGGCCACAUUGGGACUGAGAUACGGCCCAGACUCCUACGGGAGGCAGCAGUGGGGAAUAUUGCACAAUGGGCGGAAGCCUGAUGCAGCAACGCCGCGUGCGGGAUGACGGCCUUCGGGUUGUAAACCGCUUUCGCCUGUGACGAAGCGUGAGUGACGGUAAUGGGUAAAGAAGCACCGGCUAACUACGUGCCAGCAGCCGCGGUGAUACGUAGGGUGCGAGCGUUGUCCGGAUUUAUUGGGCGUAAAGGGCUCGUAGGUGGUUGAUCGCGUCGGAAGUGUAAUCUUGGGGCUUAACCCUGAGCGUGCUUUCGAUACGGGUUGACUUGAGGAAGGUAGGGGAGAAUGGAAUUCCUGGUGGAGCGGUGGAAUGCGCAGAUAUCAGGAGGAACACCAGUGGCGAAGGCGGUUCUCUGGGCCUUUCCUGACGCUGAGGAGCGAAAGCGCGGGGAGCGAACAGGCUUAGAUACCCUGGUAGUCCACGCUGUAAACGGUGGGUACUAGGUGUGGGGUCCAUUCCACGGGUUCCGCGCCGUAGCUAACGCUUUAAGUACCCCGCCUGGGGAGUACGG